RNAcentral lists this ribosomal RNA (277 nucleotides) under uncultured eukaryote. Its description in RNAcentral is "partial 18S ribosomal RNA". It matches the Rfam family "Eukaryotic small subunit ribosomal RNA", at positions 21 to 253 of the family's 1831-position model. The record is from RNAcentral.
UAGUCAUAUGCUUGUCUCAAAGAUUUAGCCAUGCAUGUCUAAGUAUAAACAGGGAUUUUCCCAUACUGUGAAACUGCGGACGGCUCAUUAAAUCAGUUAUAGUUUACUUGAUCGUAAUAACUUACUUGGAUAACCGUUGUAACCAAGGGCUAAUACAUGCUAAAAAUCCUAUUUCUUUGAAGUGGGACGAAUUUAUUAGAUUAAAAACCAAUGUGGGGUAUUCCAAACUAGUAUGUAACUUCGGUUUCAUACUGGGCUCCACUUUAAAGGUGAUCCA